Molecule: ribosomal RNA, 1644 nt
Filed under: Triticum aestivum (bread wheat)
Lineage: Eukaryota; Viridiplantae; Streptophyta; Magnoliopsida; Poales; Poaceae
Description: partial small subunit ribosomal RNA
Source: RNAcentral
AUGCGCCGGACAACCUCCCGGCGCUGGGGGCCUUACCGCCGCGCUGGCCAGGCAUCAGCCUCCGCCGCCGGCGCCGGCGCCGUCGGGGUCGACCGCCUCAGCGCCCUCCCGGACGCGCUCCUGCACCACAUCAUGUCGUUCCUCAAGGCGUGGGAGGUGGUGCCCACCUGCGUGCUCGCGCGGCGGUGGCACCACCUCUGGGCGUCUGUGCCCUGCAUCGACCUCCGCGUGCGCCACUCCUCCUUCCGCGAUGCCAACCCGCCGGAGGAGUUCCGUGACUUCGUGGACAGCCUCUUCCUCCACCGUGAUGUGUCCGCGUCGGUGGACACGCUCCGCCUGCGGUCCAGCGACGACUAUGUGGGCUUCGACGAGAAAGAUGCCAACUCGUGGAUCAGGACUGCUAUCAGCCGCAAAGCGCGGGUUAUUCAUCUUGUUGGACAUCGUAAGGGAGUCGCGUUGUUGGACCGCGUGCCCUUCGUCUCUUGCCACCUCAAGAUCUUGAAGUUGUCGUAUGCCAGGCUCGACGAUAGGAUCCUUGGACAGCUUUCUUCUAGUUGCAAAUCCUUGGAAGAGCUGGAUCUGAAGGAUUGCUUGGUCACUGGCCCUAAGAUUGUGUCUACCUCUUUGAAGACAUUAAUCAUGCUCAAAUGCACGUUCAAUUGGGACUUCUCCAUUACUGCUCCGAACCUCGUGCUGCUGCGCCUCAUCACACCUUCCGUCCGAGUUCCGUCAUUUAUCAACUUUGGGUCACUGGUCACAGGCACCAUCAUACUUGAUGAUUCUCUCUUGUGUGAUGAUUUUGGAUACAUCAGUGAUGAAGAUAAUUUUGAUGAAACUACUGAUGAUGAUAACCACAACAAUGAUAAGAGAGAGAGCUAUAAGAUUCAUGAUGACUGUUCCUUGAGUGAUGAUGAUUUUGGUGAUGAUGGCAAUUUUGAUAAUUUUGGAUUUGGAUAUGGUUUUCCUGAAGGAAGAUAUGGACACAGUCGUUACAAGGAUAAUUAUGAUUAUGGUAGCGAUAUUGAUAGUGAUGACAAUACCUAUGAAUAUAGUGAGAUUGCAAAUGAUGCAAAGUAUGGCUACAAAGGGGCCAAGCUUUCCAGUGAAGAUGGUAAGUAUGGUGGAAACAGUGGUCGAAAUUAUAGUAAGAUUCUAGGUGGCCAAAAUAUGCUUGAGAGCCUUUCUACUGCUACGAGUUUGGACUUGUUAAGUGAUGCUGGAGAGGUGGUUCUGAGUAGGGAAUUGAAAAGGUGUCCAACUUUUAGCAACCUGAAGACCCUGUCCCUUGGUGAAUGGUGUAUGGCCGCUGAUUUUGAUGCAUUAAUUUUCCUGCUACAGCAUUCACCUAAUAUAAAGAGGCUUUUUCUCCAACUUAAAUUGAACUUCGGCAUGAGGAAGGCAUUGGAAACAGGUAUCAAGCUUGAGAGGAGAUCAUUUACUUGCAAAGACCUUAGAAUGGUUAAGAUCAAAUGCUCAAAGGAUGAUGGGAGAGUCCAUACCUUGGCACAUAUGUUCAGUGCAAAUGGUAUACCCCUUCAGUAUAUAUAUGUGCGUCGGAGCGGGAAUGCUCAUCUCCGUGGCCAGAAGUUUAUGAGGGAACUCGCCAAGCAAGAACUGGAUGAAUGUGGGGAUGACUGGAUGUAA